Symphalangus syndactylus (siamang) is the source of this 1303-nucleotide long non-coding RNA. RefSeq lists it as uncharacterized. Lineage: Eukaryota; Metazoa; Chordata; Mammalia; Primates; Hylobatidae. The record is from RefSeq and is a predicted model, not a curated record.
UUCCCAUUUGAUGAGCAAAGUGUGCUUGAGAGUCCAGUUCAAAACUUCACUGAUAUCAUGGAAGCCAGUAGGAAGCAAAGCUGAGGUUUGUGUUUAUUUUGUACAAUUUAAUUAAUUAAUUUAUUUUUGAGACAGGGUUUUGCUUUGCUGCCUAGACUGGAGUGCAGUGGCUCAAUGAUGGCUCACUGCAGUCUGGACCUCCUGGGCUCAGCAAUCCCUCCUCCCCCAGUAUCUGGGACUACAGGUGUGCAACACCAUGUCCAUAUAAUUUUUUUUUUUUUUUUUGAGACAGAGUCUCGCUCUGUUGCCCAGGCUGGAAUGCAAUGGUGUGAUCCUGGCUCACAGCAACCUCACUUCCUGUGUUCAAGCGAUUCUCGUGCCUCAGCUUCCCGAGUCGCUGAGAUUACAGGUGUGCAUCACCACACUCGGCUAAUUUUUGUAUUUAUUUUUUGUAGAGAUGGGGUUUCACCAUGUUGGCAAGGCUGGUCUCGAACUCCUAACCUCAAGCAGUCUGCCAGGCGUGGCCUCCUAAAGUGCUGGGAUUACAGGCAUCCGUCUCCGCGUUCUGCAGCACAGCUGAGAUUUGCAUCUGAGUCUCCAGGUGGCUUCUCAGGGUUGGCAGAACUGAGCACAGGAAAGGAGCACUUUACAUGGCAGCAGAAGGAGGUCAGCGCUCCCCCCACUUCUCCAGCGCCGCGUGCGGAGAGACAAAGAAAUUGAUUUUCCAAUCGAUGCUCUGAGCAAUGAUUAAAUGUUCUCUGCACAGCGGGCCUAAUGAGUCCCCAAGGGGCGUGCCGGCCCUUUAAUUAGAGACUCCCACGGGGGCCUGAGAUGGGGGCUGCCCUGGAGUGAGGGGGUCCAGCCAGGGAGGAGGCCCCAUCUCCAGGAAUCGGUGGCCUGGGCCUCUGAGAGAUACUGUUUGGGGGCCCCUGGGCAUAGAGACCCAGCGGAGGGGUCCCUAGGCAGGGGGACCCCACAGAGUAGCUCCCGGGCUGAGAGGUCCCUUGGAGGGGCCCCUGAGCUGAGCCCUCGAGGAAGAACCUGGGCUACAGGGAUGGAGGCUGAAGGCCCCCGAGUGAAUGCACAGAUUUACCCACCAUCCAGGCAGCCAGCAGUCCUUUCCGUCAGUUCAGCUCCCCCAUCUGCGGCGGCGGCGGCGGAGACCCAGACAGGAAAUGAAUCCCCUCUAAGCGGCUGCUGCGUUCUCCUCACCCAGCUGCCCCAUUGGAGAAGCCGACUGAAGACUUUAGAAAUUCAAAUGAGGCUCUCGGGGGAGAGCGAGUCUUAAACAUUCCCCUGCGCA